AUACUUACCUGGCAGGGGAGAUACCAUGAUCACGAAGGUGGUUUUCCCAGGGCGAGGCUUAUCCAUUGCACUCCGGAUGUGCUGACCCCUGCGAUUUCCUCAAACGUGGGAAACUCGACUGCAUAAUUUGUGGCAGUGAGGGACUGCGUUCCCUCUCUUCCCUG
This is a small nuclear RNA of Aotus nancymaae (Ma's night monkey), 164 nucleotides long. Its record names the gene U1. It matches the Rfam family "U1 spliceosomal RNA". From Rfam's summary of the family: U1 is a small nuclear RNA (snRNA) component of the spliceosome (involved in pre-mRNA splicing). Its 5' end forms complementary base pairs with the 5' splice junction, thus defining the 5' donor site of an intron. There are significant differences in sequence and secondary structure between metazoan and yeast U1 snRNAs, the latter being much longer (568 nucleotides as compared to 164 nucleotides in human). The record is from Ensembl. Lineage: Eukaryota; Metazoa; Chordata; Mammalia; Primates; Aotidae.